CUGGUGGUGCCUCUAGGAACCUGCAUUUGAUUAGUGUUCUUUCUCCUUUGAGUUUGCCAAUGUUCUUCUUGUUGAAGUUGUAUCUGUUCCGGAUCUCUUUGCUGUUUGUUUUGUUGAUUAUUAGUCUCCUGCUGCUCCUCUUCUGUGUGUCCCUUAGGUUGUUGAGAAUUUUUUCCUGCAUCUCAAUUAUUCUUGUUUCGCACAUUUUCCAUUUCCUUUUUCUUCUUAUCCUCAUCCCUUUGCCUUAUGGUACAAUCAGUUUCCAAAUGCCCUUGGUGCUUACAAUAAAAACAGUAAUCCGGAAUAUUAUCAUACUCUAUUUUCUGCCAUCUACCAUCCGUAAUGUCCUCCCCUAUAUAACCCAUCCAAAUAUAAGGGGGUCUUUUUUGGGUAAGAUCAACUUGUACCUUCACCCUAGCUUGACUACCCCUAGUCCUUUUAAUAGACGCAAAAUCUAAGUAUAACACUUUGCCAAUAGGAGACAGCAAACCAGAAACAAACUCCUUAUUAUAACAAUGCCAAGGUAAUUCAGGUAAUGAGCAUAAAUAAAAGACAUCAUGAAUUUAUCCAGGAUAUCUGUAUACUUAAAUGUUACUGUGAUGUGCUGUUCAUGCUUUUCAAGAAUAUGUCGAGUAACUUCAUUAGACCAAAACAACCAAAUUUUCCCAUUAGGAUUACUGGUUGCAUGAUCCAUUUGGAGUUGAAGUUUAAACCUAUCAAUGUAAGAAUUAUCUGCAAAAGGUUCCAGUAUAGCAAUAAUGGAUAAAUGAUGAAGUUUCUCAAGUGUUUGUAAUCUUUCCAGCGACCCUUUGGUGUUGAUACUCCUAAUAUUCCAACAAAUGGCCCUAAUCAUUAAAAAACUUUUGAUUUGGACCUAGUCAUGGGCCUGCUAGAGGUGUCAGACAUACUGGUGGUAGGUUGAUUAUGAUUGUGUCUAGUCUUUUUCCUUCCCCUUGGGGAUAAACCCUGUUUUUCUGUCAUUCUUUGAACAUCUGGGCAUUUAUCCUGCAAGGUAGAACCAAACACUUGACUUGUAUGUUGCCUGGUAUCCUCAAUAUCUUCAUCAGACUCUUCUAUAGAUUGAUUAUCAGGGUCCAUCUCAUCAUCAGAGUUAAUUGCCCCAUAGUCAUCAGUAGUCAAUUUACCCUUAUUGAUUAAAUUAGGAUCCUGUUCAUCAACAUGUUGACUGGAGUCUAAGAGAUUCUGAUCUUUAUGAGAGACAUGUGCCUUAGAUUGUUUACCAGUACCUGUACCAUCUGAAUCUAUACCAGCACUUUGUUGCAGUCUCUUCUUUAUAGCUUCUCUUUUCUUUUUACUCAAUCUGUCCCCAGACUUGUUAUUAAAUCUACUCUGAGAUUGCCCUGUAUCAAUAAAUUGAGGAGUUCCAGAUUUAUGCUGAUCUGUGGCAGGGGUAUCAGGUGCUCUAGAGUCUCUAGUAUGUUCAACUUCCAUUUCAACAUAUAGCCAAUUCCCCCAACCCCCUUUGGCAACCCCUUCCUGCAAAUUAAUUGGUGUCUCCUGACCCUUUCUAUCUAAACCUCCUACUGCUUCCACAGCAAUAAUAUUCACAACAUUAUCACGGGGUUGAGGGGAAGGGAGCAUUGAGUUAAUACCUGUGACUGCUGGUCCUUUAAAAACUUAUUUUCCUUCAUUGUUACCUGUUGAAGAUAUAGGAAUGUUAUCCACCUGUACCUGUUUGUUAGUGUUAUCCUUUCCCAUAUUUGCUGCUGUAAUUCUGAUUUGGUCUCCUUGGUCUUACUGCUUUUGUACUGAAGUCUGAGGUAUUCUAGCACUGCUGUUACCUUUGUGUUUAUCCCUGACCUCUAAUCCCUGUGGUGUCUCCUGCCCAUCAAGAUUAAUGUAGGUAUUUUGUGUAGGAAUAGUACUGUUACCUGCCUGUUUAGUGUUCUGAUCUGCAUGACUGGUGGUGCCUCUAGGAACCUGCAUUUGAUUAGUGUUCUUUCUCCUUUGAGUUUGCCAAUGUUCUUCUUGUUGAAGUUGUAUCUGUUCCGGAUCUCUUUGCUGUUUGUUUUGUUGAUUAUUAGUCUCCUGCUGCUCCUCUUCUGUGUGUCCCUUAGGUUGUUGAGAAUUUUUGCCUGCAUCUCUAUUAUUCUUGUUUCGCACAUUUUCCAUUUCCUUUUUCUUCUUAU
Molecule: long non-coding RNA, 2150 nt
Filed under: Solanum tuberosum (potato)
Lineage: Eukaryota; Viridiplantae; Streptophyta; Magnoliopsida; Solanales; Solanaceae
Description: long non-coding RNA (STUB_LNC000387)
Source: RNAcentral